GACGAACGCUGGCGGCGUGCUUAACACAUGCAAGUCGAACGGAAAGGCCCUGCUUUUGUGGGGUGCUCGAGUGGCGAACGGGUGAGUAACACGUGAGUAACCUGCCCUUGACUUUGGGAUAACUUCAGGAAACUGGGGCUAAUACCGGAUAGGAGCUCCUGCUGCAUGGUGGGGGUUGGAAAGUUUCGGCGGUUGGGGAUGGACUCGCGGCUUAUCAGCUUGUUGGUGGGGUAGUGGCUUACCAAGGCUUUGACGGGUAGCCGGCCUGAGAGGGUGACCGGCCACAGUGGGACUGAGAUACGGCCCGGACUCCUACGGGAGGCAGCAGUGGGGAAUAUUGCACAAUGGGCGGAAGCCUGAUGCAGCAACGCCGCGUGAGGGAGGACGGCCUUCGGGGUGUAAACCGCUUUCGCCUGGGACGAAGCGUGAGUGACGGGAAGGGGUAAAGAAGCACCGGCUAACUACG
This 466-nucleotide ribosomal RNA is filed under the name uncultured bacterium. RNAcentral's name for it is "partial 16S ribosomal RNA". It matches the Rfam family "Bacterial small subunit ribosomal RNA", at positions 28 to 505 of the family's 1533-position model. The record is from RNAcentral.